RNAcentral lists this ribosomal RNA (465 nucleotides) under uncultured bacterium. RNAcentral's name for it is "partial 16S ribosomal RNA". It matches the Rfam family "Bacterial small subunit ribosomal RNA", at positions 28 to 507 of the family's 1533-position model. The record is from RNAcentral.
GACGAACGCUGGCGGCGUGCUUAACACAUGCAAGUCGAACGGAAAGGCCCUGCUUGCAUGGUACUCGAGUGGCGAACGGGUGAGUAACACGUGGGUGAUCUGCCCUGCACUUCUGGAUAAGCCUGGGAAACUGGGUCUAAUACCGGAUAGGAGCCAUUUUUAGUGUGUUGGUUGGAAAGUUUUUUCGGUGUAGGAUGAGCUCGCGGCCUAUCAGCUUGUUGGUGGGGUAAUGGCCUACCAAGGCGGCGACGGGUAGCCGGCCUGAGAGGGUGGACGGCCACAUUGGGACUGAGAUACGGCCCAGACUCCUACGGGAGGCAGCAGGGGGGAAUCUUGCACAAUGGGCGCAAGCCUGAUGCAGCGACGCCGCGUGGGGGAUGACGGCCUUCUGGUUGUAAACUCGUUUCGCCAGGGACGAAGCUUUUUGUGACGGUACCUAGAUAAGAAGCACCGGCUAACUACGUG